This 253-nucleotide ribosomal RNA is filed under the name uncultured bacterium. RNAcentral's name for it is "partial 16S ribosomal RNA". It matches the Rfam family "Bacterial small subunit ribosomal RNA", at positions 524 to 776 of the family's 1533-position model. The record is from RNAcentral.
GACGAACCGUGCGAACGUUGUUCGGAAUCACUGGGCUUAAAGGGCGCGUAGGCGGGCUGCCGCGUCCGGGGUGAAAUCCCACGGCUCAACCGUGGAACUGCCUCGGAUACGGGCGGUCUUGAGGGGGGUAGGGGCACGCGGAACUGUGGGUGGAGCGGUGAAAUGCGUUGAUAUCCACAGGAACUCCGGUGGCGAAGGCGGCGUGCUGGACCCCAUCUGACGCUGAGGCGCGAAAGCCAGGGGAGCAAACAGG